This is a long non-coding RNA of Pseudomyrmex gracilis, 124 nucleotides long. RefSeq lists it as uncharacterized. The transcript has 2 exons. NCBI's taxonomy places the organism in Eukaryota, Metazoa, Arthropoda, Insecta, Hymenoptera, Formicidae. The record is from RefSeq and is a predicted model, not a curated record.
UAUUUUGUCUUUAAUUUCUGAUAAUAAGGUGUUAUUUUCAGGUACUCAACUUAUUAAUAAAGAGGAUCAAGAAAACCAAAAUAAUCAAAUGGAAUAUAAUAAACAAAAUGAAGAAACACAAGAA